GGCAAUGUGGCUCAGUGGUAGAGCGCUUGCCUCGCAUGCGUGAAGCACUGGUUCAAUUCCUCAGUACCA
This 69-nucleotide transfer RNA is filed under the name Dipodomys ordii (Ord's kangaroo rat). It matches the Rfam family "tRNA". From Rfam's summary of the family: Transfer RNA (tRNA) molecules are approximately 80 nucleotides in length. Their secondary structure includes four short double-helical elements and three loops (D, anti-codon, and T loops). The record is from Rfam by way of RNAcentral. Lineage: Eukaryota; Metazoa; Chordata; Mammalia; Rodentia; Heteromyidae.